UAUUACAUCCUGACUGCAGUUGUCCCUCCCUCAGGAAAGAGCAGUCCUCAAGGGACAGCAACCAAACAUGGCAUAAGAAGCUACAGUAAGACCAGACACAUGCCAUCACAUCAAGGCUGGACAAGGCCACCCAGGAGGAAGAAAAUGGUCCCACAAGUAGACAAAAGAGUCAGAGACAGCCCCUGUUCCCACUGUUAGGAUCCCACAAGAACACCAAGCUACACAGCCGUAACAUUAUACAGAGGAUCUAGGCCAGACCGCUACAGGCUCCCUGAUCUCUGUAAGGCCCUGUGAGCCCCAGUCAGUUUAUUCUGUGAGCCAUGUUCUCAUGGUGUCCCUGACCACUCUGGUUUCUCCAAUCCUUCCUCCCGCUCCCUCCUCACAGGACUCCCCGCGCUCCUCCUAAUGUUCAGCUGUGGACUCUGCAUUGGCUCCCAUCAGUUGCUGGAUGGAGUCUCUCUGGUCACUUUGAGGACUAUUCUGCUAAGAGAGAAUGCACUUCAUGUAUCACACCCGCUUGAUGAUGCUCCAUAAACCUCCUAGGCUUUGGCUCUUUCUCCAUCCUUCUCCUGAACUAGACAAGCUCAAUGGGCUACAUUCAGUUCACUGCUAGGUUUUCUUCCACCUGAGCUAUUUCUUUCAUUUCAAUCAUCUCUUUCUCAACUCCACAAUUAACAUUUAAAAAAAUUAUUUGUUUAUCUUUGUUGAUAUAUUUUUGGAAUAAAACCAUCUUGAAUUCUUUUAUUUAUUUGUUUAUUUAUAUCUCAAAUGUUGCCCCUCCCUCCCAGACAUCUUGAAUUCUUUAUACAUAUUUUCCUUUAAUUCUAUAAACAUGAAAAAUAAUGUUUUAAAUUAUUUGUCUAGAAAGUCUAAUAAGGGCUUCUUCAGGGACUAUCAUAUUGAUUGCUUUAUUUGUUUACAUAUGAGUCUUGCUUUCCUAUUAUUUUACAAAUAACACAAUUCUUUGUUUAAAAACUAAGCAUCUUGGUAAUACAAUGUAGAAUCUCUGGCAAUCAUAUCCCCUAGUGGUUAUUUUUGUUGCUGUUGCCUAUUUUUUGUAGGGUUUUUGUUUUGUAACUUUUCUGGAUCAGUUCUCUAGCUUGUAGUUUUUAUGAUGUACAGUUUACAAAGUUUCUGGUAUUGCUGGUAGUGAUCAACUCAAUUAAAUAUUUUUUUCUGCUCCUUGU
Long non-coding RNA from Mus musculus (house mouse), 1187 nucleotides. RefSeq annotates it as predicted gene, 39936. Lineage: Eukaryota; Metazoa; Chordata; Mammalia; Rodentia; Muridae. The record is from RefSeq and is a predicted model, not a curated record. The transcript is spliced from 2 exons.